This 393-nucleotide ribosomal RNA is filed under the name uncultured Chloroflexota bacterium. RNAcentral's name for it is "bacterial SSU rRNA". It matches the Rfam family "Bacterial small subunit ribosomal RNA", at positions 1034 to 1447 of the family's 1533-position model. The record is from RNAcentral. Lineage: Bacteria; Bacillati; Chloroflexota.
ACAGAUCCUGCAUGCCUGUCGUCAGCUCGUGUCGUGAGAUGUUGGUUUAAGUCCCGCAACGAGCGCAACCCCUAUGAAUAGUUACCUGUGUCUAUUCAGACUGCCCUUCGGGGAGGAAGGCGGGGAUGAUGUCAAGUCCGCAUGGCUCUUACGCCCAGGGCUACACACACGCUACAAUCGCGUUGACAAUGCGCAGCGACAUCGCAAGGUGAAGCAAAUCGCGAAACAACGCGCCAGUUCAGAUCGGGGGCUGCAACUCGCCCCCGUGAAGGAGGAGUUGCUAGUAACCAUGUAUCAGCAUGGCACGGUGAAUACGUACCCGAGGCUUGUACACACCGCCCGUCACGUCAUGGGAGUUAUCAAUGCCUGAAGUCCGUGCACUAACCGUAAGGA